RNAcentral lists this ribosomal RNA (773 nucleotides) under uncultured Glomus. Its description in RNAcentral is "SSU rRNA". It matches the Rfam family "Eukaryotic small subunit ribosomal RNA", at positions 338 to 1114 of the family's 1831-position model. The record is from RNAcentral. Lineage: Eukaryota; Fungi; Glomeromycota; Glomeromycetes; Glomerales; Glomeraceae.
GGCCUACCAUGGUGGUAACGGGUAACGGGGUGUUAGGGCACGACACCGGAGAGGGAGCCUGAGAAACGGCUACCACAUCCAAGGAUGGCAGCAGGCGCGCAAAUUACCCAAUCCCGACACGGGGAGGUAGUGACAAUAAAUAACAAUACGGGGUUCUUUUGGAUCUCGUAAUUGGAAUGAGUACAAUUUAAACCUCUUAACGAGGAACAAUUGGAGGGCAAGUCUGGUGCCAGCAGCCGCGGUAAUUCCAGCUCCAAUAGCGUAUAUUAAAGUUGUUGCAGUUAAAAAGCUCGUAGUUGAAUUUCGAGAUCGGUUUAUUGGUCGUGCUAUUGUACGUACUGGUAUUACCGGUUUCUCCUUUCUGACGAACCUUAAUGCCAUUAAUUUGGUGUUUUGGGAAAUCAGGACUGUUACUUUGAAAAAUUAGAGUGUUUAAAGCAGGCUCACGCUUGAAUACAUUAGCAUGGAAUAACGGAAUAGGACGUUUGAUUCUAUUUUGUUGGUUUCUAGGAUCGACGUAAUGAUUAAUAGGGAUAGUUGGGGGCAUUAGUAUUCAAUUGUCAGAGGUGAAAUUCUUGGAUUUAUUGAAGACUAACUACUGCGAAAGCAUUUGCCAAGGAUGUUUUCAUUAAUCAAGAACGAAAGUUAGGGGAUCGAAGACGAUCAGAUACCGUCGUAGUCUUAACCAUAAACUAUGCCGACUAGGGAUCGGAUGAUGUUAAUUUUUUAAUGACUCAUUCGGCGCCUUACGGGAAACCAAAGUGUUUGGGUUC